RNAcentral lists this ribosomal RNA (600 nucleotides) under uncultured marine bacterium. RNAcentral describes it as "bacterial SSU rRNA". It matches the Rfam family "Bacterial small subunit ribosomal RNA", at positions 8 to 642 of the family's 1533-position model. The record is from RNAcentral.
AGAGUUUGAUCCUGGCUCAGAAGGAACGCUGGCAGCGUGCAUAACACAUGCAAGUCGAACGAUGAAACAUUCUUCGGAAUGUGGAAGAGUGGCGAACGGGUGAGGAACACGUAAGAAUCUGCCCCUCGGUCGGGGACAACUCUUGGAAACGAGAGCUAAUACCCGAUACGCUGUGGAGUGAAAGAAUUUCGCCGAGGGAUGAUCUUGCGUCUGAUUAGCUAGUUGGUGUGGUAAUGGCAUACCAAGGCGACGAUCAGUAGCUGGUCUGAGAGGAUGAACAGCCACAUUGGAACUGAGACACGGUCCAAACUCCUACGGGAGGCAGCAGUGGGGAAUUCUCCGCAAUGGACGAAAGUCUGACGGAGCGACGCUGCGUGAAGGAUGACGGCCUGCGGGUUGCAAACUUCUUUUCUCGAAGAAGAAGCUCUGACGGUAUUCGAGGAAUAAGCAUCGGCUAACUCCGUGCCAGCAGCCGCGGUAAUACGGAGGAUGCAAGUGUUAUUCGGAAUGAUUGGGCGUAAAGCGUCUGUAGGCUGUAUAGAAAGUCUUUUGUUAAAUGCCUCGGCUCAACCGAGAUCCAGCAAAGGAAACUUCUAUACU